Molecule: ribosomal RNA, 253 nt
Filed under: uncultured bacterium
Lineage: Bacteria
Description: partial 16S ribosomal RNA
Rfam family: Bacterial small subunit ribosomal RNA
Source: RNAcentral
UACAGAGGUCUCGAGCGUUAGGCGGAAUCACUGGGCUUAAAGCGUGUGUAGGCGGGUCGUUAAGUGCCUUGUGAAAUCCCAUGGCUCAACCAUGGAACUGCUGGGCAUACUGGCGAUCUUGUGCAACCUAGGGGCGAGCGGAACAGAUGGUGGAGCGGUGAAAUGCGUAGAUAUCAUCUGGAACGCCAAUGGUGAAAACGGCUCGCUGGGGGUUUGCAGACGCUGAGACACGAAAGCCAGGGGAGCGAACGGG